Molecule: unclassified non-coding RNA, 356 nt
Filed under: uncultured Rhizaria
Lineage: Eukaryota
Description: sequence contains 5.8S rRNA gene, ITS2, 28S rRNA gene
Source: RNAcentral
AACGCAAAUUGCGCUCUCGGGAUAGGCCUGGGAGCACGCCUCUUUGAGUAUCGUUUCAACCACAACUCGAAAGCGUGCUUAAUUGCAUCGCUGACGGAAAAUGAGCGUUCUCGUGCUUUCGAGACGCUUUAAAUUGAGCGAGUGACUUGACAUCUGUCUUCAGACGGCUCUUGUCAGUAGUGACGAGGAUAACUUCACAUUCAAUUGUGAACCCUUCCAUCGUGACUGCGCGACUGAGUGCUGUUUGGCGUGGCUGUCGCCUGUCACGGCCUAUCUGUGAAUCAUCUGCUAUGGUGGUCGCAGAACUCUCUUUUGAACUAGAUCUCAAAUGAAGCGAGAAAACCCGCUGAACUUAA